Erinaceus europaeus (western European hedgehog) is the source of this 103-nucleotide small nuclear RNA. The record is from Ensembl. Lineage: Eukaryota; Metazoa; Chordata; Mammalia; Eulipotyphla; Erinaceidae.
AUGUUCACUUCCGCAGCACAUAUAGUAAAAUUGGGACGGUACAGAGAAGAUUAGUAUGGCCCCUGCACAAGGAUGACAAAUUCGUGAAGCAUUCCAUUUUUUG